RNAcentral lists this ribosomal RNA (253 nucleotides) under uncultured prokaryote. Its description in RNAcentral is "partial 16S ribosomal RNA". It matches the Rfam family "Bacterial small subunit ribosomal RNA", at positions 525 to 777 of the family's 1533-position model. The record is from RNAcentral.
ACAGGGGGCUCGAGCGUUAGUCGGAAUCACUGGGCUUAAAGGGUGCGUAGGCGGCUCGCCAAGUGCUUUGUGAAAUCCCCGAGCUCAACUCGGGAACAGCAGGGCAAACUGGCGGGCUUGAAGCAGGUAGGGGCUGGAAGAACAGUAGGUGGAGCGGUGAAAUGCGUAGAUAUCUACUGGAAUGCCGAUGGGGAAGCCGUCCAGCUGGGCCUGUCUUGACGCUGAGGCACGAAAGCGUGGGGAGCAAACAGGA